AGCUGACAUCUUCCUGAGAGCAGAAGCUUUAUGUGAUAGAAUGGAUGUUUGCCUAUAAAAAGAAAGCUGUGGACAGUGGAUCAUGGAGUUUACCAGAUGGGAUGGUGCCAGUCCAGCACCUUGGACUCAUCUAUGAGAAUACCUAACACCAGCAGCUUUUCAUGUAAAAGUGGAAACUAGUGCUUGUCAGGAGAAAAACUGAUCUACCCGGCCUGGUCCAAUUAAUUACUGGAACCCACACCAGAAUAUGCUUCCUGGUAGGAUUUGUGACCUUUGUGGAGAACCCGUGCUGGAGCAAGGCUGUGUCUGAAGGACUGAUCCUGUGGAAAAAAUGACUUGUAUUGAAGAACUCUUGCCCAUGAGAUAGAGCCACAUUGGAGAAGUUAAAGAGGUGUCCUGUGGGAGGGACCCCAUGCUGGAGCAGCAGCAGGAACAACAUCAGUGUGAUGAACUGACCACAACCCCCAUUCCCAUCUCCCUGUGCUGCUGGGUGGGAGGAGGUAGAGCUAGGAAGGAGGGAGAGGUAUAGAAGAGGUGGUUUUAGGUGAUAUUUUAUUUCUCCUAAUCCUGCUCUGAUUUUGAUUAGUAAUGAAUUUACUGCAUUUUCCCAAUUUGAGUCUGUUUGAGAUUUGGUGAGUGGUCUCUCCCUGCCCUUAAGUAAUGAACCUUUGUUCUCCUGUCUCUCCCCUCUCCUCUGAGGAAGGCAGUGAGAGAUCAACUUUGGUGGGUACCUGGCAUCCAGGAAGGGGCAAUCCACUGCAGCAUGGAAUUCACUUACAGCUACAAGUGAUUUCUGCACAACAGGCACUUAAAAACUCUGACAUACUUGUGGAAUGUACAUUCCUCACAUUUAGAAGUGAGGGUUUCAGCAAAAGUUUAUUGGUAACUGCACAGGCAUUUCUGCUCUGGAAAAUAUGACGGAAAACCAAUAUUGAUUAUUGGCAGUGAGUACAGACAAGUACAGCCUUUCUAACGAAGUCUUGUUAUCAAAAAUACACUGUGCUGACACAAAUAUUGAUAAAAUCUUUGACAGGGAAAUUUAUGAAGUCCAAAGCAUAUUCUCUCUUGCCGCUUCCAGAGGAAAAAGGGAGAGCUGAGCAGAAAAAAGACUGGUUUGAUCUGACAAUAAGCAUUGUGAAAUAAAUCAACCCUGCAAAAAUCAUCAGAAGGGGCUGUUUUUCCUGUUGUACAGUACAAUAAUUCAAAUGUAAGCCUUGAAACAAAAGUAUUUUUCUUCUA
Molecule: long non-coding RNA, 1239 nt
Organism: Cinclus cinclus
Lineage: Eukaryota; Metazoa; Chordata; Aves; Passeriformes; Cinclidae
Exons: 3
Source: RefSeq, a predicted model, not a curated record